GGCUGGUUAGCUCAGUCGGUUGGAGCGUGGUGCUGAUAACACCAAAGCCGCAGGUUCGACUCCCGCUCAGUCC
Molecule: transfer RNA, 73 nt
Filed under: Apaloderma vittatum (bar-tailed trogon)
Lineage: Eukaryota; Metazoa; Chordata; Aves; Trogoniformes; Trogonidae
Rfam family: tRNA
About the family: Transfer RNA (tRNA) molecules are approximately 80 nucleotides in length. Their secondary structure includes four short double-helical elements and three loops (D, anti-codon, and T loops). Further hydrogen bonds mediate the characteristic L-shaped molecular structure. tRNAs have two regions of fundamental functional importance: the anti-codon, which is responsible for specific mRNA codon recognition, and the 3' end, to which the tRNAs corresponding amino acid is attached (by aminoacyl-tRNA synthetases). tRNAs cope with the degeneracy of the genetic code in two manners: having more than one tRNA (with a specific anti-codon) for a particular amino acid; and 'wobble' base-pairing, i.e. permitting non-standard base-pairing at the 3rd anti-codon position.
Source: Rfam by way of RNAcentral